RNAcentral lists this ribosomal RNA (731 nucleotides) under Bacillus sp. CBG_LBI3. Its description in RNAcentral is "bacterial SSU rRNA". It matches the Rfam family "Bacterial small subunit ribosomal RNA", at positions 42 to 757 of the family's 1533-position model. The record is from RNAcentral. Lineage: Bacteria; Bacillati; Bacillota; Bacilli; Caryophanales; Bacillaceae.
GGGUGCCUAUACAUGCAGUCGAGCGGACAGAUGGGAGCUUGCUCCCUGAUGUUAGCGGCGGACGGGUGAGUAACACGUGGGUAACCUGCCUGUAAGACUGGGAUAACUCCGGGAAACCGGGGCUAAUACCGGAUGGUUGUUUGAACCGCAUGGUUCAGACAUAAAAGGUGGCUUCGGCUACCACUUACAGAUGGACCCGCGGCGCAUUAGCUAGUUGGUGAGGUAACGGCUCACCAAGGCGACGAUGCGUAGCCGACCUGAGAGGGUGAUCGGCCACACUGGGACUGAGACACGGCCCAGACUCCUACGGGAGGCAGCAGUAGGGAAUCUUCCGCAAUGGACGAAAGUCUGACGGAGCAACGCCGCGUGAGUGAUGAAGGUUUUCGGAUCGUAAAGCUCUGUUGUUAGGGAAGAACAAGUGCCGUUCAAAUAGGGCGGCACCUUGACGGUACCUAACCAGAAAGCCACGGCUAACUACGUGCCAGCAGCCGCGGUAAUACGUAGGUGGCAAGCGUUGUCCGGAAUUAUUGGGCGUAAAGGGCUCGCAGGCGGUUUCUUAAGUCUGAUGUGAAAGCCCCCGGCUCAACCGGGGAGGGUCAUUGGAAACUGGGGAACUUGAGUGCAGAAGAGGAGAGUGGAAUUCCACGUGUAGCGGUGAAAUGCGUAGAGAUGUGGAGGAACACCAGUGGCGAAGGCGACUCUCUGGUCUGUAACUGACGCUGAGGAGCGAA